This 459-nucleotide ribosomal RNA is filed under the name uncultured bacterium. RNAcentral's name for it is "partial 16S ribosomal RNA". It matches the Rfam family "Bacterial small subunit ribosomal RNA", at positions 338 to 795 of the family's 1533-position model. The record is from RNAcentral.
CCUACGGGUGACAGCAGUGAGGAAUAUUGGUCAAUGGCCGGAAGGCUGAACCAGCCAAGCCGCGUGAAGGACGAAGGUGCCAAGCAUUGUAAACUUCUUUUGUCAAGGGACAAAAUCAGGCUCGAGAGCCUGACCGAGGGUACUUGAAGAACAAGCAUCGGCUAACUCCGUGCCAGCAGCAGCGGUAAUACGGGGGAGACGAGCGUUAUCCGGAUUUAUUGGGGUUAAGGGGUGCGUAGUCGGACUGUUAAGUCAGCGGUAAAAGCCCGGGGGUCAACCCCGGCGAGCCGUUGAAACUGGCUGUCUUGAGAUGUCGAGAGGUAUGCGGAAUGCGGAGUGUAGCGGUGAAAUGCUUAGAUAUUGCGCAGAACUACGAUUGCGAAGGCAGCAUACCGGCGGCGAGCUGACGCUGAGGCACGAAAGCGUGGGUAUCGAACAGGAUUAGAUACCCUUGUAGUC